UGCUUUACACAUGCAAGUCGAACGGCAGCACGGGGGCAACCCUGGUGGCGAGUGGCGAACGGGUGAGUAAUAUAUCGGAACAUGUCCGGAAGUGGGGGAUAACGUACCGAAAGGUACGCUAAUACCGCAUAUGCCCUGAGGGGGAAAGGGGGGGAUCGCAAGACCUCUCGCUUUCGGAGUGGCCGAUAUCGGAUUAGCUAGUUGGUGAGGUAAAGGCUCACCAAGGCGACGAUCCGUAGCUGGUCUGAGAGGACGACCAGCCACACUGGAACUGAGACACGGUCCAGACUCCUACGGGAGGCAGCAGUGGGGAAUUUUGGACAAUGGGCGAAAGCCUGAUCCAGCCAUGCCGCGUGAGUGAAGAAGGCCUUCGGGUUGUAAAGCUCUUUCAGCCGGAAAGAAAUUGCUUCUAUUAAUACUAGGAGUAGAUGACGGUACCGGAAGAAGAAGCACCGGCUAACUACGUGCCAGCAGCCGCGGUAAUACGUAGGGUGCGAGCGUUAAUCGGAAUUACUGGGCGUAAAGCGUGCGCAGGCGGUUUGGUAAGACAGACGUGAAAUCCCCGGGCUUAACCUGGGAACUGCGUUUGUGACUGUCAGACUAGAGUGUAGCA
Molecule: ribosomal RNA, 613 nt
Filed under: uncultured beta proteobacterium
Lineage: Bacteria; Pseudomonadati; Pseudomonadota; Betaproteobacteria
Description: bacterial SSU rRNA
Rfam family: Bacterial small subunit ribosomal RNA
Source: RNAcentral